RNAcentral lists this ribosomal RNA (792 nucleotides) under uncultured bacterium. Its description in RNAcentral is "bacterial SSU rRNA". It matches the Rfam family "Bacterial small subunit ribosomal RNA", at positions 70 to 881 of the family's 1533-position model. The record is from RNAcentral.
CAUUCUUUUAGAUUGAGAGCGGUUAGUGGCGGACUGGUGAGUAACACGUAAGCAACCUGCCUAUCAGAGGGGAAUAACAGUGAGAAAUCAUUGCUAAUACCGCAUAAGCUAGUAGUAUCGCAUGAUAUAGCUAGAAAAGGAGCAAUCCGCUGAUAGAUGGGCUUGCGUCUGAUUAGCUAGUUGGUGGGGUAACGGCCUACCAAGGCGACGAUCAGUAGCCGGACUGAGAGGUUGAACGGCCACAUUGGGACUGAGAUACGGCCCAGACUCCUACGGGAGGCAGCAGUCGGGAAUAUUGCGCAAUGGAGGAAACUCUGACGCAGUGACGCCGCGUAUAGGAAGAAGGUUUUCGGAUUGUAAACUAUUGUCGUGAGGGAAGAAAUUGACAGUACCUCAGGAGGAAGCUCCGGCUAACUAUGUGCCAGCAGCCGCGGUAAUACAUAGGGAGCAAGCGUUAUCCGGAUUUAUUGGGUGUAAAGGGUGCGUAGACGGGAAAUUAAGUUAGUUGUGAAAUCCCUCGGCUUAACUGAGGAACUGCAACUAAAACUGAUUUUCUUGAGUACUGGAGAGGAAAGUGGAAUUCCUAGUGUAGCGGUGAAAUGCGUAGAUAUUAGGAGGAACACCAGUGGCGAAGGCGACUUUCUGGACAGUAACUGACGUUGAGGCACGAAAGUGUGGGGAGCAAACAGGAUUAGAUACCCUGGUAGUCCACACAGUAAACGAUGAAUACUCGCUGUUUGCGAUAUACGGCAAGCGGCCAAGCGAAAGCAUUAAGUAUUCCACCUGGGGAGG